This 952-nucleotide long non-coding RNA is filed under the name Vulpes vulpes (red fox). Its description in RNAcentral is "lncRNA (ENSVVUG00000004370.1)". The record is from RNAcentral. Lineage: Eukaryota; Metazoa; Chordata; Mammalia; Carnivora; Canidae.
GCCCCGCGCGAGCGCCGCGGGCUCGGGACGCGAGCUGGGAGCUCCCGAGCCGGAGGGAAAAGGCGGGUCUCCGGCUUGUUUUGAUUCGGCUUCGCUGACACGCUCUGGCCCCGCCCCCGCCCGUGACGACACUGGGGAUUCGGCCUGGCCGCGCCCACCAGGUGACCUCACGGCGGAGCGGAGCGGACCGGCCGCGUGACGUCCCGCGCGAGCGCCGCGGGCUCGGGACGCGAGCUGGGAGCUCCCGAGCCGGAGGGAAAAGGCGGGUCUCCGGCUUGUUUUGAUUCGGCUUCGCUGACACGCUCUGGCCCCGCCCCCGCCCGUGACGACACUGGGGAUUCGGCCUGGCCGCGCCCACCAGGUGACCUCACGGCGGAGCGGAGCGGACCGGCCGCGUGACGUCACGCCCGCGCUGAGCCGGCCGCUUUCGAGUGACGUCAUCCUGACGCCCUCACGGGGGUCUGCGCAGCUCCUGGGCCUCUGCGAAGCGGCUUCGUCAAGUGGCGCCUGAGCCAACCCGGUGGCAUCCCGAGUAGUUACUGGGUGACCUCCUGACCUUCGUGUAAUCGAGGCUUAGAACAAUAUGAUCCGGAAAAACAGGCGGCUGACUGGAACAGAAGUGAGAACAAAGGAUUUCGGACUCAUAAUCCAUCAAAACACUUUGCCCUUCAAGAACAAUCUUGGGCUCAACCAGCUUCUUCCCAAACCUCAGGUCCCAGAUCAAACACACCCCUCCUUCAGAAUGUUGUGGCAGAAACACCUUCCCGGAGGAGCUAUCACAGGUAUCACUGUUUAUUUCUCUCAUCCAUCCCUCAUUAAGUUGUCAAUGUACAUGUUUACUUAUUCCUAUCUGUCUCCUUCUCACUCCCAUGAAAGCUCCAGAGGUAAUAGAUUUUAUCAGUCGUGGGCACCUCUGGGAACAACAGCUAGCUUGUAUUUACUGAGUAUAUAA